CGGCCGCUCGCGGGGUGCGCCGGGGGCUCCGAUGGGAACCGAGCGCGGGGGGCCCGGGACCACACAGGUGAGCCCCGCCCGCGGGCUCCCAAUCCACCGAGUUCCCCUAUCCCACGAUCCCGCCCGCCAUCCCCUCCCCCUCGCUCCUCCACCCCAGCUCCGAAGCACUUUCCCAAGCCCGAAGGAGCCCUCGCUGCACCCCGAACCCGUUCUCCGCGUCCUGCUUUCUCCGAAAGGGAAAAAAAAGGAGAGAAAGAGAGAGAAGCAAGCAGAUGCGGCGCAAAGCGGGGCGCAGGACGGCAAGGGGCCGCUUCCAGCCUGGAGGGACUUUUCUUGGAAAGGUGGAGACCCCCGGAGGAGUGCGACUCCCCAAGGGCCCGAUGCCCUGGAGCGAAAAGGCGUUCGCUGGUCAGCCUUGCUGCCAGAAAAUUUAGCAAACUUCGGGCAGAUCCUCCCACCUGGGGCGAGAGCUCUGGCUGGCCUGGGGCUCAGCCCCGGGACCUUUCCUUUCACACUUUAAGAGCCUCAAGGCACUUUUUUCGUGGAAACCAGGCCAGCGCGAGGACAACUU
Molecule: long non-coding RNA, 571 nt
Filed under: Mus spretus (western wild mouse)
Lineage: Eukaryota; Metazoa; Chordata; Mammalia; Rodentia; Muridae
Description: lncRNA (ENSMSPG00010035431.1)
Source: RNAcentral